UGUGUGCGGGUCUGUGGUUGAAAGUCGAUGCCAGUCGCAGGCGAAACGACCCACGUAAGGCAACUCGUGGUUGCUGAGCAUGGUGCGGCUUAGGAGUAAGUCCUGCCCGCGUUGCUCCCGGCUCUCGGGGGAGCGCGGAGAUGAGGUGACGCGUGCCAUCAGUGGCUCCGAAGGGUCUACCGCCGGUGACGGUCGGUGCCGCCGGAGUCCGGCCGCAACUCUCACCGCAGGCGAGUGUGGGGUCAAAGACCAGGUCAGCCGCCCGCA
RNAcentral lists this non-coding RNA (267 nucleotides) under unclassified sequences. RNAcentral's name for it is "raiA RNA". It matches the Rfam family "raiA RNA". The record is from Rfam by way of RNAcentral.